CCUACGGGAGGCAGCAGUGAGGAAUAUUGGUCAAUGGACGAGAGUCUGAACCAGCCAAGUAGCGUGAAGGAUGACUGCCCUAUGGGUUGUAAACUUCUUUUAUAAAGGAAUAAAACGAGGCACGUGUGCCUUUUUGCCUGCACUUUAUGAAUAAGGAUCGGCUAACUCCGUGCCAGCAGCCGCGGUAAUACGGAGGAUCCGAGCGUUAUCCGGAUUUAUUGGGGUAAACGGGAGCGUAGAUGGGUUGUUAAGUCAGCGGUCAAAUCGUGGGGCUCAACCCCAUCCAGCCGUGGAAACUGGGGAUCUAGAGUGUGCGAGAGGUAUGCGGAAUGCGUGGUGUAGCGGUGAAAUGCAUAGAUAUCACGCAGAACCCCGAUGGCGAAGGCAGCAUACCGGUGCACAACUGACGCUCAGGCACGAAAGCGUGGGUAUCGAACAGGAUUAGAUACCCCUGUAGUC
Molecule: ribosomal RNA, 459 nt
Filed under: uncultured bacterium
Lineage: Bacteria
Description: partial 16S ribosomal RNA
Rfam family: Bacterial small subunit ribosomal RNA
Source: RNAcentral